AUAUCAUGAGUCACUAGCCCAAAUAGACAUAAAGCACACCUGCACCGUAAGCAAACUUGUGUCCAUCAUGCCACCACCAUAGAUCUGCUCCACAAAACCCUAAUCACACCUCCUUAAUGUAUAGAUUCAUUUUGAAUCAACCACCAUGAAAUCAUGGGAGAUUUAAGAUCGUGAAUCCACCUCGUAAGACCUCUGCAUGGAGAUUAAUGGUUCCAAAGGAUUCGGGGUUUUGGGAUUUAGGGCUUGCU
This 248-nucleotide long non-coding RNA is filed under the name Vigna radiata. Its description in RNAcentral is "long non-coding RNA (VRAD_LNC016898)". Lineage: Eukaryota; Viridiplantae; Streptophyta; Magnoliopsida; Fabales; Fabaceae. The record is from RNAcentral.